Melospiza melodia melodia is the source of this 1580-nucleotide long non-coding RNA. RefSeq lists it as uncharacterized. The transcript is spliced from 6 exons. The record is from RefSeq and is a predicted model, not a curated record. Lineage: Eukaryota; Metazoa; Chordata; Aves; Passeriformes; Passerellidae.
CUGCAUUUUCGAUUUAAUUAUAGGCUCCCACAGUAGUAAUUUUUCCGUGACCUACUCAAUCUCAAAAGUCAGAAAAUUGCUUCUUUUUUAAAGCUGACAAUAGCACGGGCCCUUUCCCUGACAGGCCUCUAGGAUGGUGGCAGAGGUUUGGCAGCUCAUCCCCAGGGUAUCUGCAGCAGCCCAGAGAGCAGAGGCGGGACAGCCCCAGGCCCACAGGAGAUUUUGAAGGGGUUGGUGAAUGCAGACACCAUGGGAGGAGGUGGGCUGGCCAGCAGGAACCACUCUUGGCAUUCCCUCAUGGAAGAAAGGAGAAAAAGAAAGCUGGCACUGGGGUUCCUUCUUCUGCCAUGAAAUAACUGGGAAAAAAAAGAGUUGUCUGUUAAGGUCAGGUUUACCCACAUGCCUGUCGCCGUAAGAGACACAAAAUGAUGCAGCCCUUGAAGCCAGAGCAGUGCAAAGGACAGUGAGAGGGCUGGUUCCUGUGUGAGGGGCAGCUUGGCUGAGGGCAGGAGCAGCACUGCAGCCUCCAUCUGCAGCCGUGCUGGGCUGCUUGUCCGCAGCUGUUGGGAGCUGGGAGCCGUCGGUCGCUCUGUUCUCUGUCCUGUGCUGCUUCUCUCUGGCUCCUACGUCAGAGGAGCUGAGUGCAAAACCAAUCGGCAUCCGAGGAUUGUUCUGGCAAGCAGUGUUUUUCAUUUAAAGCCAAAAUGAAAAAUGAGAUGGCUGAUCACCAGCACAGCUGAGUUGGGGCCUCAAUGAAAGGACCUUGACCCCCCAACCAGCAUCUCUUGAGGAAUUCUCUUUGUUGGAUGCUUUCAGCUGAGGCCUCCCCCAAAGUCGAAGGGCGUAAGUUGGAAGAGUUGGAAGCACAGUGUUUGUUUACCACAUUGCCCCUGGGUUUGCCUCUGGCUUGUGCAUCCUGGGGGAGAGGCAGUGGGUCUGCUGCUGGUUCCUCAAACAUUGACAUCUGUGUUGGCCUUCUGUAGUGAAACCAUUUUCCUAGCAGCAGCAUCAGGCUCUUCUCCACACUAUUUCCCUUAUCAGCAGAUCGCGUGGUGCGUACGCAGUGUCUCGGUGCAGCCGGGUGAGUGUGUUGUCUGCACAGUAAUCACCAAGAACAAAGACUCGUCUGCACGGUCAGUGAGCAGGGCUGGGGGCCGUGUGCCACACGUGUGCCUGAGACACUGCCUGGCUUUGCAGGGCUGUGGCAGGAGGGAGCUGAGCCUGUGCAAGCCCCAAACCACACUCAGCGCCCACCUUGCAUGGCUGGGGCCCACAGACACUGGUCACUGUGUCCCACAGGAGCCAUCCCAAGCACAGGAGAGUGGGAAGUGCUCCUUGGCCAUGCUCAUCCAUGGCAUCAGGGAUCAGCACUGUGAGGACAGGAAGUGGCAACCUGCCUUUUUAAAGUUCUUGAGGAACUUUGACACAGUUUGAUACUUUGAUAUUGGUGUUCCUUGCCAAAGACAAGGGAAAUCCUACGAUUGUAGUAAAUAUUUAUCUUAAACGAAAUGAGAAUAAUUAAAUGGCACCUUCAUUGCUAUAUUCAUUCAAUUAUGCUGACUAUUAACUAAUUGCUGACU